Molecule: ribosomal RNA, 348 nt
Filed under: uncultured Glomeromycotina
Lineage: Eukaryota; Fungi; Glomeromycota
Description: LSU rRNA
Source: RNAcentral
UUUUGAAAGGGUGAAGCCAGUCGUACCGGCGGGUAAUCAGCCUAUUGGGUGUGAUUAUGUGGAGCGUGAGGAGCUAAUCACCAUCAUGCCUGCAUAUUCGUGCACUUUGGGUGAACUUGCUCGUGUGGUAGGUUAACAUCAAUUUUGAUUGUCAUAAAAUGGUUGGAGGAAUGUAGCUUCGAUCUCGUAUUGAAGUGUUAUAGCCUUUGGUAGAUGUGACGAUUGGGAUCGAGGAUUGCAACGAAUACCUUUGUGCUAUCCGUCUGACCUCUGAAAGUCGCUCGGGUGCUGAAAGCUUGCUUAUGGCUAUUCAAGUUGGCGGUCAAUAGGUUAGAACGUGAUUCUGUU